ACACAUUUUGAUAAUGAAUAUCAUAAAAAACAACCAUGAAUGUGUCUUCAUCUUGUGUAUUGUUGAUUUAUGCCAUGUUUGCAAGUGAAUUUAGAUAUUAUUAUUUUGGUUGAUUCCUUGUUAAUGUUUGUUCUUGUUGCUUUGUGUUAAAUUCCUGUUUUUAAGGAGCCAUACAAACGAUGACAAGCCUGAAGCUUCCGACAGAAGAAUUACUCAACGAGGCCUGGGAAACUCAGUUUUGUACAAUUUUCUAUUAUUGGUGAACGAAGUCGUCUCCGGGCAGCUGCGGUUCCCUCCAUCUUCCCACAUACAUCAUGCACCAGUACAUCAGCACUACCAACUCGACCAA
RNAcentral lists this unclassified non-coding RNA (349 nucleotides) under Haliotis rufescens (red abalone). RNAcentral describes it as "uncharacterized LOC124112433, transcript variant X1". The record is from RNAcentral. Lineage: Eukaryota; Metazoa; Mollusca; Gastropoda; Lepetellida; Haliotidae.